RNAcentral lists this ribosomal RNA (487 nucleotides) under uncultured bacterium. Its description in RNAcentral is "bacterial SSU rRNA". It matches the Rfam family "Bacterial small subunit ribosomal RNA", at positions 28 to 507 of the family's 1533-position model. The record is from RNAcentral.
GAUGAACGCUAGCGGCAGGCUUAACACAUGCAAGUCGAGGGGUAGAGGAAGCUUGCUUCCUUGAGACCGGCGCACGGGUGCGUAACGCGUAUGCAACCUACCUUUUACAGAGGGAUAGCCCAGAGAAAUUUGGAUUAAUACCUCAUGGUAUAUAUCAUUCGCAUGUUUGAUAUAUUAAAGUUCCAACGGUAGAAGAUGGGCAUGCGUCCUAUUAGCUAGAUGGUAAGGUAACGGCUUACCAUGGCAACGAUAGGUAGGGGUCCUGAGAGGGAGAUCCCCCACACUGGUACUGAGACACGGACCAGACUCCUACGGGAGGCAGCAGUGGGGAAUUUUGGACAAUGGGGGAAACCCUGAUCCAGCAAUGCCGCGUGAGUGAAGAAGGCCUUCGGGUUGUAAAGGACUCUUUGUCAGGGUAAGAAACACCGGCUCUAACACAGUCCGGGAAUGACGGUACCUGAAGAAAUAAGCACCGGCUAACUACGUG